Molecule: ribosomal RNA, 496 nt
Filed under: uncultured bacterium
Lineage: Bacteria
Description: partial 16S ribosomal RNA
Rfam family: Bacterial small subunit ribosomal RNA
Source: RNAcentral
AUGAACGCUGGCGGCGUGCCUAAUACAUGCAAGUCGAGCGAACGGACGAGAAGCUUGCUUCUCUGAUGUUAGCGGCGGCCGGGUGAGUAACACGUGGAUAACCUACCUAUAAGACUGGGAUAACUUCGGGAAACCGUAGCUAAUACCGGAUAAUAUUUUGAACCGCAUGGUUCCAAAGUGAAAGACGGUCUUGCUGUCACUUAUAGAUGGAUCCGCGCUGCAUUAGCUAGUUGGUAAGGUAACGGCUUACCAAGGCAACGAUGCAUAGCCGACCUGAGAGGGUGAUCGGCCACACUGGAACUGAGACACGGUCCAGACUCCUACGGGAGGCAGCAGUAGGGAAUCUUCCGCAAUGGGCGAAAGCCUGACGGAGCAACGCCGCGUGAGUGAUGAAGGUCUUCGGAUCGUAAAACUCUGUUAUUAGGGAAGAACAUAUGUGUAAGUAACUGUGCACAUCUUGACGGUACCUAAUCAGAAAGCCACGGCUAACUACGUG